UCAUGAGUUUGACUCUGGCUCUGAAUGAACGCGAGCAAAACGUCUUGACACAUGCAAAUUUAAUAAAUAUAAAUUUUAUUUAUUGAGUGUAUCGGUGAGUAAGAUCAAAAAAUCCUAAA
Molecule: ribosomal RNA, 119 nt
Filed under: uncultured Stichotrichia
Lineage: Eukaryota; Ciliophora; Spirotrichea
Description: partial Bacterial small subunit ribosomal RNA
Source: RNAcentral